GUGAACGCUGGCGGUAGGCCUAACACAUGCAAGUCGAACGGCAGCACAGUAAGAGCUUGCUCUUACGGGUGGCGAGUGGCGGACGGGUGAGGAAUACAUCGGAAUCUACUUUUUCGUGGGGGAUAACGUAGGGAAACUUACGCUAAUACCGCAUACGACCUACGGGUGAAAGCAGGGGAUCUUCGGACCUUGCGCGAUUGAAUGAGCCGAUGUCGGAUUAGCUAGUUGGCGGGGUAAAGGCCCACCAAGGCGACGAUCCGUAGCUGGUCUGAGAGGAUGAUCAGCCACACUGGAACUGAGACACGGUCCAGACUCCUACGGGAGGCAGCAGUGGGGAAUAUUGGACAAUGGGCGCAAGCCUGAUCAAGCCAUACCGCGUGGGUGAAGAAGGCCUUCGGGUUGUAAAGCCCUUUUGUUGGGAAAGAAAAGCAGCAGGUUAAUACCCCGCUGUUCUGACGGUACCCAAAGAAUAAGCACCGGCUAACUUCGUG
This 491-nucleotide ribosomal RNA is filed under the name uncultured bacterium. RNAcentral's name for it is "partial 16S ribosomal RNA". It matches the Rfam family "Bacterial small subunit ribosomal RNA", at positions 29 to 507 of the family's 1533-position model. The record is from RNAcentral.